AUGGAAAUUGAAAAGGUUAUGGAGGAGACAAGGAGGAAGGAAAUUGAAAUGUUUAGGAAGAAUACGAAAAAUAAAGAGAAGGUCACUUCUGUGAAGAGAAAAGCUGCAGUGAUGGAUAAUGAGGAGGAUAGUGAUGAUGAUGAUUUGAAAGAAUAUGGUGAUAUCCUUGCUAGGCUUGAGGAGAUGAAAAGACAGAGGGAAGAUCCACUCCUUCAUUUUAAAGGGGACACAGAUGUUGAGGAAAUGUAUGAGACAGAGGAGGAGGAUGCACUAUAUGAGCCUGAAAGUGAAGAAGAGGAUGAAGAGAGUACUCUGGAGGAAGAGAGUAAUUUGGAGCAGGUAGGGCAAGAUGGACAGAAGAAGAAAAAGGAGAAUAAACACAGAAAAGGCCCAACAAGCAGAUCACAUGCAAGUGUAGAGGAGUUGUUUGAGGAGGACUGGAUACCAUCUUCUGAUGAAGACAAGAAACCAAUGGACUUGGGUGUGGAAGAUGAUGAUGGUGCAGAGGCAUUGACAUAUGUUUUGCCCAAUGGCAGGAAAAGCAAAGCUAAGAAGAUGAAGAAAAGGUUAUGGUAUGAUGAGAAGAGAGCUCACCCAGCUGAGGAAUUUGUGAAGCAUCUUUGCUUCAUUGAUGUGUACCAGUUCAGAAAUGCACUUCAAACAAUGCACAUUGCAUAG
This 678-nucleotide ribosomal RNA is filed under the name Triticum aestivum (bread wheat). RNAcentral's name for it is "partial small subunit ribosomal RNA". Lineage: Eukaryota; Viridiplantae; Streptophyta; Magnoliopsida; Poales; Poaceae. The record is from RNAcentral.